CAGUAGCCGCGGUAAUACGGAGGGUGCAAGCGUUAAUCGGAAUUACUGGGCGUAAAGCGCACGCAGGCGGUCUGACAAGUCAGAUGUGAAAUCCCCGGGCUUAACCUGGGAACUGCAUUUGAAACUGUCAGGCUGGAGUCUUGUAGAGGGGGGUGGAAUUCCAGGUGUAGCGGUGAAAUGCGUAGAGAUCUGGAGGAAUACCGGUGGCGAAGGCGGCCCCCUGGACAAAGACUGACGCUCAGGUGCGAAAGCGUGGGGAGCAAACAGGAUUAGAUACCCGAGUAGUCCAUGUCUCUUAUAC
RNAcentral lists this ribosomal RNA (301 nucleotides) under uncultured bacterium. RNAcentral's name for it is "partial 16S ribosomal RNA". It matches the Rfam family "Bacterial small subunit ribosomal RNA", at positions 509 to 807 of the family's 1533-position model. The record is from RNAcentral.